GAGUUUGAUCCUGGCUCAGAUUGAACGCUGGCGGCAGGCCUAACACAUGCAAGUCGAGCGGCAGCACGGGUACUUGUACCUGGUGGCGAGCGGCGGACGGGUGAGUAAUGCCUAGGAAUCUGCCUGGUAGUGGGGGAUAACGCUCGGAAAUGGACGCUAAUACCGCAUACGUCCUACGGGAGAAAGCAGGGGACCUUCGGGCCUUGCGCUAUCAGAUGAGCCUAGGUCGGAUUAGCUAGUUGGUGAGGUAACGGCUCACCAAGGCGACGAUCCGUAACUGGUCUGAGAGGGAUGAUCAGUCACACUGGAACUGAGACACGGUCCAGACUCCUACGGGAGGCAGCAGUGGGGAAUAUUGGACAAUGGGCGAAAGCCUGAUCCAGCCAUGCCGCGUGUGUGAAGGAAGG
Molecule: ribosomal RNA, 407 nt
Filed under: uncultured Pseudomonas sp.
Lineage: Bacteria; Pseudomonadati; Pseudomonadota; Gammaproteobacteria; Pseudomonadales; Pseudomonadaceae
Description: bacterial SSU rRNA
Rfam family: Bacterial small subunit ribosomal RNA
Source: RNAcentral